CCUACGGGGGGCAGCAGUGGGGAAUCUUGCGCAAUGGGCGAAAGCCUGACGCAGCAAUGCCGCGUGCGGGACGAAGGCCCUAGGGUCGUAAACCGCUUUCAGUAGGGACGAAAAUGACGGUACCUGCAGAAGAAGCUCCGGCCAACUACGUGCCAGCAGCCGCGGUGAUACGUAGGGAGCAAGCGUUGUCCGGAAUUACUGGGCGUAAAGGGCUCGUAGGUGGUUGAGUAAGUCAGAUGUGAAAUCUCAGGGCCCAACCCUGAGCCUGCAUUUGAUACUGCUCUGACUAGAGUCCGGUAGGGGAGUGCGGAACUCCUGGUGUAGCGGUGAAAUGCGCAGAUAUCAGGAAGAACACCGACAGCGAAGGCAGCACUCUGGGCCGGUACUGACACUGAGGAGCGAAAGCGUGGGUAGCAAACAGGAUUAGAUACCCCAGUAGUC
This 441-nucleotide ribosomal RNA is filed under the name uncultured Actinomycetes bacterium. RNAcentral describes it as "bacterial SSU rRNA". It matches the Rfam family "Bacterial small subunit ribosomal RNA", at positions 338 to 795 of the family's 1533-position model. Lineage: Bacteria; Bacillati; Actinomycetota; Actinomycetes. The record is from RNAcentral.